Long non-coding RNA from Frankliniella occidentalis (western flower thrips), 501 nucleotides. RefSeq lists it as uncharacterized. The transcript has 2 exons. NCBI's taxonomy places the organism in Eukaryota, Metazoa, Arthropoda, Insecta, Thysanoptera, Thripidae. The record is from RefSeq and is a predicted model, not a curated record.
UAAUGUCGUUUUUAACCGGUUAAUGUCGACAUGGUCAUUAUUCAACAGUGUAUUCAACAGCGUUUCAUAAAUCUGGAUAUAUUAAAAUAAUAUUUAUGUGAAAUGUAUCCAAUGCUUUAUUUUUAACAGUUUAAAAGAGAGUGAACCUUUUGGAAACCAGGGAGUGCAUCUUCACAGCGCCGUAGCCAAGCAGACACUCGUGGUGGCACAAUAUCGGGCAUCACACACUGUAGAGAUUUAAGCCGUCAAACAGAUUUCCGACUUGAAACAAUAGCAAAAGACAACUGACUUCGGAACUCACCUCAGCACUGAGGGCCGAUGAUGAACAAUGGCAGUCUGCAAUUGUGGGCCAGCUAAGAGCUAUGAAUUGGCUGUCACCUAAGAGUUUGUCAAGGUCUUGUAAGGCUUCUUUCAAGCUAAUUACAUGGUUGGGAUUGGGUUGUUUGCCAAACAAAACAGGAACCUGUAGUGCAAAAGAAAAAAUUAUUUUUAAAUUUAAAA